CGAGUCGGCUGUGCGGCUGCGGGGGCGAAAGCCAACGAGGAAAGUCCGAGCUUCACAAAGCAGGGUGACGGAUAACGUCCGCCGAAGGUGACUUCAGGGAAAGUGCAACAGAAAUGUACCGCCGCUUUUGCGGUAAGGUUGAAAGGGCGAGGUAAGAGCUCACCGACCCCUCGGUAACGCGGGGUGCAAUGUAAACCCCACCCGAAGCAAGAUAGGAACGCGCCGAUAUGCGGUCGCUUGCCGCGGCGCGCUCGCAAACAGUCGCUUGAACUUUACGGUAACGUAAAGUCUAGAUAGAUAGCCGCAUUAAAUGACAGAACUCGGCUUACAGGCAGACUCGCUUU
This 344-nucleotide RNase P RNA is filed under the name Clostridia bacterium. RNAcentral describes it as "RNase P RNA component class A". It matches the Rfam family "Bacterial RNase P class A". Rfam says of the family: Ribonuclease P (RNase P) is a ubiquitous endoribonuclease, found in archaea, bacteria and eukarya as well as chloroplasts and mitochondria. Its best characterised activity is the generation of mature 5'-ends of tRNAs by cleaving the 5'-leader elements of precursor-tRNAs. Lineage: Bacteria; Bacillati; Bacillota; Clostridia. The record is from RNAcentral.